AGAUUGCUGGAUCGUGAUGGAGUUGGAGGUGAAGAUGCUGGUUUGGAUGGUGAAGAUGAAGAUGGAUUUCUGAAGGCAUUUAAGGUGGCAAAUUUCGAAUACAUAGACGAAGUUAAGCCAGCAGAGGAGGUGGCACAAAAAGAAUCAAAGGAGAAUCAAUUCUCUGCUGCCAAUUUGAAGAAAUCAGCUUACUGGGAUGGCUUGUUGAAAAAAG
RNAcentral lists this small RNA (214 nucleotides) under Vigna angularis var. angularis. Its description in RNAcentral is "Non-protein coding transcript". Lineage: Eukaryota; Viridiplantae; Streptophyta; Magnoliopsida; Fabales; Fabaceae. The record is from RNAcentral.